AACAAAAUCGGGUAUUAGUGACCAAAUGUCAGUGACCACUUCAAUAUUGGUCACAAAUACUAUUGAAUUAAUGACCAAUUCUACCGGUUGGUCACUAAAACUUUUAGGACCAACUAAAUUCACUUACCCGCCCAUCGUUCAAACUUUAAUGACCAAAAGUUUUAAUACUAGUGACCAUUCGUGUUGGGUCACUGAUAUUUCUGAACUUCAUAAUGCAUGGUUUCCUUUUAGUGACCAAAACUUUUCAGUUGGAGGGAUUUUUUCUCUUAAACAUCGGAGUAGGCGGGCACUUAAAAAAUCAAACUCUUUUCCAAGCACGGCAUGCUAAAGGAGUAAAGGGCUAUUUUUAAGUGAAGACCCAAAAAAAUUAAAAUCCCUAGUUCACACUUCUCAGACGUCAGACCCAGAUCUUCAUCGUCCUUCUCGGCUUCUCCCUCACUCCUCUCUUCUGUUCCCGAGUCAUGGUGGGUCGAGCCUUGAAUUCCGACCACCUUGGACAGCCCAUACGAGCCGGUGACCGUGUCACUCAACCUCAAUUUACUGGACAGAGAUCCCAGAGUUAGCCGCCGUGUUAUAGGCUUCGAGCCGAGCAAAUUACGAUUCGGUUUCAAUAUCCUGGAUUAUAGGUUUGUUUUUGGACCAUAUAAAGGAAGCUGAGAAAUCAAUUGUUAUGCGAAGCUGAGGUAUGCAUCAACAGUUGAGUCUGAAGCUUUAUUUCUCUAUUUAUUUUGAUUCAUGUGUCUGUUUGUCUGUUUGACAGAAGUAUGCAUAGUCUUUUCUUUUGUUUUGGUAUGUAAUAAGGAGUCACAAGUGUGGGUACCCUUUGUUGUAAGUUGAGGAAAUUUUCUUAAUUGAGACUUCAUCAGAAAAGGAUUUCUAGGGAUUUAUCUUUUUGUUUAAUAUUCUAUUAUAUCUUUGUACCGUUUGUGAACUGGGUCUUGUGUCUUUCAAGGAUUUGUGACUGGAAUUUUUCUAUUUGAA
Molecule: long non-coding RNA, 981 nt
Organism: Rosa chinensis
Lineage: Eukaryota; Viridiplantae; Streptophyta; Magnoliopsida; Rosales; Rosaceae
Exons: 2
Source: RefSeq, a predicted model, not a curated record